CCUACGGGAGGCAGCAGUGAGGAAUAUUGGUCAAUGGACGAGAGUCUGAACCAGCCAAGUAGCGUGAAGGAUGACUGCCCUAUGGGUUGUAAACUUCUUUUAUAUGGGAAUAAAAUGUUCCACGUGUGGGAUUUUGUAUGUACCAUAUGAAUAAGGAUCGGCUAACUCCGUGCCAGCAGCCGCGGUAAUACGGAGGAUCCGAGCGUUAUCCUGAUUUAUUGGGUUUAAAGGGAGCGUAGGUGGAUUGUUAAGUCAGUUGUGAAAGUUUGCGGCUCAACCGUAAAAUUGCAGUUGAAACUGGCAGUCUUGAGUACAGUAGAGGUGGGCGGAAUUCGUGGUGUAGCGGUGAAAUGCUUAGAUAUCACGAAGAACUCCGAUUGCGAAGGCAGUUCACUGGACUGCAACUGACACUGAGGCUCGAAAGUGUGGGUAUCAAACAGGAUUAGAUACCCGUGUAGUC
RNAcentral lists this ribosomal RNA (460 nucleotides) under uncultured bacterium. RNAcentral describes it as "partial 16S ribosomal RNA". It matches the Rfam family "Bacterial small subunit ribosomal RNA", at positions 338 to 795 of the family's 1533-position model. The record is from RNAcentral.